AGAGUCCUCAAAUUCUUGAGAGGAGGUCAAAUUCCACACUCAAAUGAUCUCCAAAAUUGUAUGUGGAUAUUUCUUCUAUUUGUCUUAUUUUUGGUAUCAGAGUAAAUUGAAAUAAUAGAAUGAGCUGAGAAAUGUUUUCUACUUUUAUAUUUUUUAGAAGAGUUUGUAAGGAAUUGGUUAUGUUUUCUUUAACUUACCAUAAAUUUCUUUGAAAUUCAGCCUCACAACAAUCUGUACACUAUACUUUAUUGUUAUUUAUCAAUUCACAAAGCCACGAAUUUAUCCAAAAAAUUUAUCCACAAAAUUCUCUUUUCUGUAGCUUCAUCAUGUACUGUAGCUAGUACUUUAGCACUUUCUGGAGCAAUUUCAUAUACAAAAUAAAUUCCCUCUUCCAUUUCCUGAAUGUAAUGUAUAGUUGAUUCAUUCACACUGAACUCAUUAAUACUAAACUCAUGGUAAACAACAUUCAUGCCUGAAUGAAGCUUAUCUAACACACAGAGUUUUUCUGUAGGGCACAUCGCAGCUUCUUGUGCUUAAGGAAUACUAGGCAGCACUUUAGCACUACACUUGAAGGCCAUUUAAAACAGCAAAAUCACCAACAAGAAGCACAAAAAUGUGAAAAACUUGGCAUUAAGUAUAUGUCAAAAAAAGAGACUCGUUUGCAGCAUGAGAGCUGAAACAACAAGGCAGUACAGUGCCUGGUUCGACCUCAGCUGAGAACAUGUGUGUUGGGUGACUCAGGUUUUUCAUUGCUUUACAUGUGUGUAUAAAUGACUGUGAAAAUGCCCUGAGUGUCAAUUUGGGGAGUUACAAAUGCAUUUUAGCAAGUGGUCAAGUUUAAAAAUAUAGAAUCCAUGAAUAAUGAGAAUCAACUCUGUUAGCAUGUUCAAUAAUGUUCUACAUUUCUCCAAGGCUCUUUUCAUUUUUUUCUUCUUAUUUUUUGCUGCUCUCAGAUUGUAUGAUCUCUAUCAGUCUAUCUUGAUGUUUACUUAUUUGUUCUCCCAACUUCCAUCUACUGUUGACCCCCUCAAGCAAAUACUUUAUUUGGUUAUUGGAAUUUUGAACUUCAAUAUUUCCCUUUUUAAAUAAUUUCUAUUUUCAGUGAUAUUUUCUAAGAGAUGAGACAUUAUCAUUGCAUCUUCCUCUAGUUCUUUUUUCCCUUUUUAUGGCUGUGCCUGUGGCAUAUGGAAGUUCCUAGGCUGUGGGUCAGAUGGGAGCUAUAGCUGAAGUCUAUGCCUCAGCCAUGGCAGCACCAGAUCCAAGCCACAUCUGCUAGGUUGCAGCUUCUGGCAAGGCUGGGUCCUCAACCCACUGAGUGAGGCCAAGGAUUAUACCCACAUCCUUACAGAGGUAAAGCCAUGGCUGGAACUCCCCUUCCUCUAGGUCCUUAAUCAUGGCUUCCUUUAGUUCUUUGAACAUAAUAACUACUUUAAAGUUUCUGUACUCUAAAUACAACAUUUGGACAGUCUUAAAUGCAGUUUCUGCUGCCUCUACUUUUAAAUCCUGAAAAUACACUUUCUUGUUUAUUUGCCCAUCUCAUAAUUUGUAUUUUUUUGUUCCAAACUGGAUAUUUUGACAAUAUAUUAUAGCACUUAUGAUACUAAUAGCCUAUAUCCAAGACUGUCAUUGUUUGCUGGUCUCCUUGUUAAUUUUUUUAAUUACUUGCCUCAACUAGUUCUGUGAAAAUGGUUUUUCUCAAAAUGUGCAACCUCUCAUGUUGCUCACCAAAAAUACAGUCUUAAACAGGUACACAGUCACCCUGACUCUUACUACCCACUGGGUAAACAAUGGUUUUAUCUAAGAACUCUUUUGACUGUCUCUUCCCAUGAACUUCCUCUUAAGAUACUGUUUUGGUCUGCCUGUAUUAUCAGACAAAAGCAGCUAGCCUAUGCUAAAUUCUACCUGAUUGCUCUUUUGUUUUUGACAACACUUUGGUUAAUAGAUUACUGUGAAUUCUAAAGUGAUUAUGUUUGAACAGAAACCAUAUGAUCCCUGUUUGUAGGAGUAGUCUUUGAGGCCAGACCUUAAAGCUUCCUCUACCUCCAGGAGGACUUGACUUAGGGGCUUCUUUCCUUGGUUAUUUCUACUAAUUUUCUAGCUUUUUGGCCUUUUCCCUUACUGCUGUUACAAGGCUAUAAGCCCCCUACUAAUUUCUCACCACCAGAAUCUGCAGUGUUUACUACAGUGCCCUUAGGCUUGAACUUCCCCACAUUGUGUUCCAUGGAAGAUGAGUCCUAUUAAGAAGAAGUGUGGAGCUCUUUGUACUUAUAGGCUUCUUCUUCCUCCUCCUGGGCAGAACAUAGGUGCUGCUGCUUCAGAGUUGAGAGUGAGGACAGCAGCCUCUUUCUCUUACAGUGACACCCAUGUUCUGUAAGCAGAGUUCUAGGCAAAGAUAGCCUCUGGUCUUCUUGGCCUUCUUUUCCUAUCAUGAAACCUUAGCUAAACACAUGACCUGGGGCAAGGAUGAUUAUGGACCAAUAUGUUCAGCCUCUCAUACCUGAAAUAGAAUGUUUUUUCUUAUGACAAAGGCUGAGUGGAGAAAUAGGGCCCCCAACCUCUCUGCCAUUUUUGCCUGAAACAAAAGUCCUAUACCAUGGAGCCAGGGGAGGAAGGGAUGAGAAAUAUGUGGCCUGACUCUCCUGAGGAGAUACCAUAACCCUAGGCUUGGAGCUGCAGUGAAAGACUAUCUCAUCUUCUUAACUUCACUCACUUAGAAUAUAGCUUUGAUCACUUUGACCUGGGGGAAAAAAGGGGCAAGUUGUGGUUCAAAUGUUAUGGACUCUUUCUUCUUAUCAAGAUUGAAUAGAUUGCAUUGAAUAAAUUUCUCCAUUUUCUCUAUGACCUUAGGAAAAUGUCCAGAGAUUUUAAAUUUUUAAAAAAUUUUACUAGUUAUUUUUUAUCAAAAAGAGGAUUCAGAGAGUUCUUCACUUCAUUACUCUAGAAGUGCUUCUGACUUUGCAUUUUCUGUAUAAUAUUUUACUGUUUAUAACAUUCUUAUAUUAAAAUACUUUUUCUAUCUCCAAUUACUUUAAAAAAUGUAUUAUAACACAGCAUCCAUCAUCAUUUAUAAUCUACUGUGAUCCCUUCAUAUUGGGAGACUAUCUCUUCCAAGAGUUGCAGUUGGAAAUUGAGACAUAAGAAACGUUUCUGCUUUCUUAUUUCCAUCCUCAAUUGAGGUUUCAACCACAGUAUUGGCAGGCAGUAAAUGCGGGCAUAGGCAGAGAACAGAGACUCAACCCAGACUCUAUUUCUAAUCCUAUUUUCUAGUCCUCACUAAGCUCACUGCUACAACAUAGUAAAUGUUUCUAUCUUUUGGCUCUGUGGUAGGAAAACAAUUCUAAGUCAUCAACCUGUAUCCUCAAUUCUACAUUUUUGUUUUAUUUUAAAAUAAAAGCUAUGUUAGGAAUUUCUGUUGUGGUGCAGUGGAAAUGAAUCCGACUAGGAUCCAUGAGGAUGUGGGUUUGAUCCCUGGCCUCACUCAGUGGGUCAGGGAUCUAGCUGUUGCCAUGACCUGUUGCAGGUCGCAGACGUGGCUAGGAUCUCACUUUGCUGUGGCUGUGGCAUAGGCCAGCAGCGGUAGCUCCUAUUUAACUCCUAGCCUGAGAACCUCUAUAUGCUGUGGGUGUGGCCCUAAAAAGAGGAAGAAAAAACAAAAACCUAUGUAUUAAAUCCAUAAGUUCUAGAUCUUAAAUUUUAAUAAUUAAAUACCACCUUUCUCUCUCAAAAGUCACAAACUGUCAAACUGUUACAAAUCAUAAGUGUUUUUACUUUCAAUAAAUUGUCUGUUUCAGUAAGUUUUCAAUAGCCUAAACAAAGAAUGUAGCUGUUUAUUCCUGCCUACCCUUAAGGGCAGGGAAAAUGGAAAGCUAUCCCUACUGCCCAGCUGUUAGGAGGAGAGAGCUGAACACUAGGAAACUUGGACAAAAAAAAAAAAAUGUCAAUUAACAUUCAAAAUCUUAUCCUGCUAUUACUUUAGAAUUGUUCAGCAAAUCACAUGGUCUUGUUAUUUGGAGGAGGGAGACUGUGGGAUGGAGAGGCUGGCUGCUAGUACAAGCAUAGUUGGUUCCUUUUUUCUUUAAAAACCAAAUAUUUAGAAGAGAAAGAGAAUAAAGAAAUGAGCUACUUUAAUUUCAUAUGGUUUCUUUUAAAAUAGUAAUUUGUAAAACCUGUUUUUCCUUAACUCUUUUCAGAGUUUCCAUUGCUGUAUGAAAAAUCCAAAUCUCCCUAAAUGUCUCUGACAGGCUGUGUUCAUCUUUUUUGCAUUCAGAGAACAUUGCGGUUUUACCCUAUUUGCGUAGACUUGAGUUGAACAUUAUCUUCUCAGCUUUUUUUUUAAUUGUGAGCGCUACUUGAUUGCUUAAAUGCUACAAUUUUUGAGUGUUUGAAAGUCAGCAUCACCAGAGCCACAAGGGCAACUUUUCCUUCUAAAAGAAGCUAAGAAUUCAUUAUAAAUUAUUUUUGUUCAUCAGAAAGCAAAAGGCAUAUAUGCUAAAAAAGAUAAAGUGAGAAAAUUACCAAAAUUGUUAAUUAUUCUUUCUCCAGAUCAGAAUACCCAUCAGCUUGGAGACCAAGAGGAAAGCUUGAGGAUCAUUAAAUCUGGUGUGUAAGAUAAUAUUUUCACUGAUUAGUUUCUCCUGAAAUGUCUUUUUUUUUUUUUUUUUAAACUUAGCUAGCCCUUUCUGGGGUCAACGAGUUAAGGAAGGGAUUUAACAAUCUGAGGUUGAGUGGUUGUCUGUCUCUUCCUGACUUCUGAAUUUCAAAAACCUGGAUCCUUAAUGAAAUAGGAAGAGUUUGAGGUAAAGAAUAUAUUUUGGAGAAUACUGUAGUAUGAACAAAACUUUCUUGCUUCUCACUCUAAGAAAAAGGUGAGACAGAGAAUAAUUCAAUGGUAAUGGGUCCCAUAGAGAGGAUCCCGUGCUUCUUCCUGGGCUGGUUACUGAGGAUGUGAGGUGGAGGAGCAGAAAACCCCCCAAAUAGGUUUUUGCUCCAUGCCCAGGUUGAUAUGCAGAGAGAGCAGAUUCCAAGAGUAAAAAUGCCUUGUUUUGUCUAGACCUUCUACCUCUCCAUUGAAUUUCACAUGGCCUAAUAUUAUGUUAUAGAUAGGAGCAACAGAAUAAACUCCAUUUGCCCAAGAGUACAAAUCAAGCAUUUGCAGAAAGGAAGAGCACCUCUAGAUGUGAAUGAACCAUGUAUAUGAAAUUCAGUUAUAUAAUCUUGGCAGUCUGUAUGGACUAAUGACUGAGACCCAAAUAGAUCUAUUGAUUAUCUGUGUGGGCAAAAACCAUGACGGUCCAGAUUCCUUCAUGUGGCUUUGCUUUAUUGUCCAAUAAGACUGCUUAAUUUGAGCUAUCAUACUUGCUUUCUACCCGUAAGCAGAUGGUAUUCCUUUUCUGUCUGUUAGUUUCCUCAUACAGUAUUUUCUUCUAUCUCAUUGGCCAAAAUAGCUCUGUAGCCAAACCUAACUGAAAAAGAGGUUAGGAAACAAUGUUUAGCUGAGUAACAAUGUGUUUGGUUGUUUAAAAUGAGGGUUCUUAUUUAGGGUUUAUAUUAAAGAGUUCUCUUUUUGUAGGGCUUCCUCCUCCCCAAGACUUUUUCUGGGAACUCUAGUCAUCUUCUUCCUGGACUCUCAAUUCCAUCUUCUCAACUCAAAGAGUAUCUGUCCUGGGCUCUACCUGGGUUCUCCUUCCGUGCAUUACAACCUAGACUUUUUCCCAGGUCCUAGAACUGGGGCAGUUGUAGGGCUCAUCUUAUUUUGUUUCUCAUCAUGAAAGAUCAUUUUCCUUCCUUACCUGAUCAGUGUCUCAAAAACCUUUGUGUCAUAUUUUUCUUUUCUUUUGUGUGUGUAUGUUUCAGGUGAGAAGGGCUAAUCAGAUCCCUGUUAUUCUGUAUUGGUUGGGUGUGGAAGUUCCCUAUUGUAUUCACUUUUCCCCUUACUCAUCAUUAUAUUCAUAUCUCUUGUCUACUUGGUCCUUUGGAAAUUAUUUAGGUGUUCUUUGUAAUUUACCAGAAUAUAAGUGAAGUUGGCAUAUGCACAUUACUUCCUGCCAGAGAUAAAAAUGCUUUGAAUAGUUCAACCUCUAAUUAUGCCUCCCUGCCCACAGAAUUUGUGCUUGGGGAGAAUGAAAAUUAAUUCAAGAAGAGACUCUGUCUGGAGUGAAAGGGUGUGGACCUGGAAAGCAGUAAGCUACCUCCUAAACACAACUGUAUUGUGGAAGUGGCCAAAGACCAGGACAUAUAAUGAGCAGGUUGGAAUACUCAUUGGAUAAGAUGCCUGUAGGUGUUAGCCCAAUCCAAAUUAACAACAUUUUUUACAUAAUGUUUAGCAAUUAAUGCACUAUGAUAGAAAUGGUACUGAAUUUAAGGGAUUGGCUGGCAGAUAAUUUAAGCCUGGUCUUAGCUAUGAAUGACUUCCUUUUCUGGUGUAAAAUAAUUUCGAGGUAGGUAUCUCCCAUCUCUAAACUUUCCUUUUGUAGUAUAUGGGAUCUUUACAUACUACUUGAUCUUCACAUACUAAAUUUCUAUUUUUUUGGGAAGACUUUCUUGUUUAGAUGAACUAAAUUAAAGUUUCUGCAGAAAUCAGAGAGCCACUUCAUACCUUAGCUUUCCUCUCUCCCAACCUUUGCAAUUCCUUGUAACCUCCAAAGUCUGUGCCCUAUGGAGAAUUAAAAGAACAAUAUUUGGGUAUUUGGUUUGUUUUUCUUUCUUCCCUACUGGUAACUCAAAUUUUUUGCUAAU
This 6735-nucleotide long non-coding RNA is filed under the name Sus scrofa (pig). RNAcentral describes it as "lncRNA (ENSSSCG00000057344.1)". Lineage: Eukaryota; Metazoa; Chordata; Mammalia; Artiodactyla; Suidae. The record is from RNAcentral.